CUUGAGCGAGCCCAGCCACAGCGGCCGGUCCUCGGGGCGGUCCGGCCCGUAGGCGGCGAUGAUCGCGCCCGCCUC
Molecule: antisense RNA, 75 nt
Filed under: Saccharothrix espanaensis DSM 44229
Lineage: Bacteria; Bacillati; Actinomycetota; Actinomycetes; Pseudonocardiales; Pseudonocardiaceae
Description: ASpks TB sRNA
Rfam family: ASpks TB sRNA
Source: Rfam by way of RNAcentral